AAGAUGUGCGCGCUUACUCCGUACUGAUUUGAAUGAGAAGACUUCGCACCAUAUAAACCACAAUAAUAACCUCGGGAUUUAUUAACUUUGAAUGCAUGGUGUUGGUUGCAUCAUCCGUAUUUUCAAAUUCCCACAUUCAAAAGACCCGCCUUUGGUGAAGGCAAAGGUGUUGUGCUAUUCUUUCCGAGGUGCAGAUUCCUUAUCAGCCUUUUCAGUGUAUGUGAUUCUAACUAAGUUUUAUAGAUCCGCCACUCUGUUCGACCGAUAGAGUGAACAUAGGAUUUCUGUGAUACUGUUCUUUUAAAAUUCAGUGAAUGGAUUAGACGCCGUUUUCAACCUUUAACAACCCGGUGACUUGAAAGAAAAUAAAUUAAAACUUGUACCGAGAAUGGAAUUUAAAUGUGAUUAACAUAUUGAAUAUGGGUUUGUAUUAAAGGUUCAAAAAUUAAAUAUAAUUUGUGUUUAUUUCUUUUAGAAUAUAAAUAUAUCAUUAUUUAAUGAGAAAAAGUAAAAAUUCAGGAAAAAUACUUUUGUAACCUCGACUUUAAUGUUUUGAAAACGUUUUAAAAACCGAACAAUUUAAUCGUGAAUAAGACAUUUUUGAAAAUGUUUUUGUUACAUUUAAAAACAAUGUUAUUAUAACAAUUGUUGAAAUAUUUUGUAAAAUGUUUUAAAAACAUUUA
Molecule: long non-coding RNA, 683 nt
Organism: Saccostrea cuccullata (small rock oyster)
Lineage: Eukaryota; Metazoa; Mollusca; Bivalvia; Ostreida; Ostreidae
Exons: 3
Source: RefSeq, a predicted model, not a curated record